This 459-nucleotide ribosomal RNA is filed under the name uncultured bacterium. RNAcentral's name for it is "partial 16S ribosomal RNA". It matches the Rfam family "Bacterial small subunit ribosomal RNA", at positions 338 to 795 of the family's 1533-position model. The record is from RNAcentral.
CCUACGGGAGGCAGCAGUGCGGAAUCUUGGUCAAUUGUCUCGAGCCUGAACCAGCCAAGUCGCGUGAGGGAAGACGGUCCUAUGGAUUUUACACCUCUUUUGUCGUUGAGCAACAGACGCCACGCGUGGCGUUCCGAGAGUACCCGAAGAAACAGCAUCGGCUAACUCCGUGCCAGCAGCCGCGGUAAUACGGAGGAUUCGCGCGUUAUCCGGUGUUAUUGGGUUUAAAGGGUGCUUAGGCGGACGCUUAAGUCAGCGGUAAAAUUGCGGGGCGCAACCUCGUCGAGCCGUUGAACCGGGGUGCCUUGAGUGGGCGAGAAGUACGCGGAAUGCGUGGGGUAGCGGUGAAAUGCAUAGAUAUCACGCAGAACUCCGAGUGCGAAGGCAGCGUACCGGCGCCCAACUGACGCUGAAGCACGAAGGCGUGGGUAUCGAACAGGAUUAGAUACCCUGGUAGUC